RNAcentral lists this ribosomal RNA (464 nucleotides) under uncultured bacterium. RNAcentral describes it as "partial 16S ribosomal RNA". It matches the Rfam family "Bacterial small subunit ribosomal RNA", at positions 29 to 507 of the family's 1533-position model. The record is from RNAcentral.
AUGAACGCUGGCGGCGUGCUUAACACAUGCCAGUCGAACGGAAAGGCUCCUGCUUGCAGGGGUACUCGAGUGGCGAACGGGUGAGUAACACGUGGGUGAUCUGCCCUGCACUUCGGGAUAAGCCUGGGAAACUGGGUCUAAUACCGGAUAGGACGAUGGUUUGGAUGCCAUUGUGGAAAGUUUUUCGGUGUGGGAUGAGCUCGCGGCCUAUCAGCUUGUUGGUGGGGUAAUGGCCUACCAAGGCGUCGACGGGUAGCCGGCCUGAGAGGGUGUACGGCCACAUUGGGACUGAGAUACGGCCCAGACUCCUACGGGAGGCAGCAGUGGGGAAUAUUGCACAAUGGGCGCAAGCCUGUUGCAGCGACGCCGCGUGGGGGAUGACGGCCUUCGGGUUGUAAACUCCUUUCGCUAGGGACGAAGCGCAAGUGACGGUACCUGGAGAAGAAGCACCGGCUAACUACGUG